AUUGAACGCUGGCGGCAUGCCUUACACAUGCAAGUCGAACGGUAACAGGUCUUCGGAUGCUGACGAGUGGCGAACGGGUGAGUAAUACAUCGGAACGUGCCUAGUAGUGGGGGAUAACUACUCGAAAGAGUGGCUAAUACCGCAUGAGAUCUACGGAUGAAAGCAGGGGAUCGCAAGACCUUGUGCUACUAGAGCGGCCGAUGGCAGAUUAGGUAGUUGGUGGGAUAAAAGCUUACCAAGCCGACGCUGUGUAUCUGGUCUGAGAGGACGAUCAGGCACACUGGGACUGAGACACGGCCCAGACUCCUACGGGAGGCAGCAGUGGGGAAUUUUGGACAAUGGGCGAAAGCCUGAUCCAGCAAUGCCGCGUGCAGGAUGAAGGCCUUCGGGUUGUAAACUGCUUUUGUACGGAACGAAAAGCCCCGGGUUAAUACCCUGGGGUCAUGACGGUACCGUAAGAAUAAGCACCGGCUAACUACGUGCCAGCAGCCGCCGUAA
This 498-nucleotide ribosomal RNA is filed under the name uncultured bacterium. RNAcentral's name for it is "partial 16S ribosomal RNA". It matches the Rfam family "Bacterial small subunit ribosomal RNA", at positions 30 to 523 of the family's 1533-position model. The record is from RNAcentral.